GAUGGGUCCGCGUCCCAUUAGCUAGUUGGUGGUGUAACGGACUACCAAGGCGAAGAUGGGUAGCCGGCCUGAGAGGGUGAACGGCCACACUGGGACUGAGAUACGGCCCAGACUCCUACGGGAGGCAGCAGCUAAGAAUAUUCCGCAAUGGACGAAAGUCUGACGGAGCGACGCCGCGUGGAUGAGGAAGGCCGAAAGGUUGUAAAAUCCUUUUGCGGGCGAAGAAUAAGCGGGGCAGGGAAUGGCCUCGUGAUGACGAUAGCCCGUGAAUAAGCCCCGGCUAAUUACGUGCCAGCAGCCGCGGUAACACGUAAGGGGCGAGCGUUGUUCGGAAUUAUUGGGCGUAAAGGGCGCGUAGGCGGUUAAUCAAGUCUGACGUGAAAUACAUGAGCUUAACUCAUGAACUGCGUUGGAAACUGGCUAACUAGAGUCACGGAGGGGGAAUCGGAAUUCCUGGUGUAGGGGUGAAAUCUGUAGAUAUCAGGAAGAACACCGGUGGCGAAGGCGGAUUUCCAGCCGAUGACAGACGCUGAGGCGCGAAAGUGCGGGGAGCAAACAGGAUUAGAUACCCUGGUAGUCCGCACUAUAAACGAUGCACACUAGGUGCCGGGCCGAGCGGUUCGGCGCCGAAGCGAACGCGAUAAGUGUGCCGCCU
RNAcentral lists this ribosomal RNA (655 nucleotides) under uncultured bacterium. RNAcentral describes it as "bacterial SSU rRNA". It matches the Rfam family "Bacterial small subunit ribosomal RNA", at positions 224 to 874 of the family's 1533-position model. The record is from RNAcentral.